AGAGUUUGAUCAUGGCUCAGGAUGAACGCUGGCGGUAUGCUUAACACAUGCAAGUCGAACGAAAUCUUCGGAUUUAGUGGCGGACGGGUGAGUAACGCGUGAGAAUCUACUCUUAGAUUGGGGACAACAGUUGGAAACGACUGCUAAUACCGAAUGUGCCGAAAGGUAAAAGAUUUAUCGUCUGAGAAUGAGCUCGCGUUGGAUUAGCUAGUUGGAGUGGUAAUGGCACACCAAGGCGACGAUCCAUAACUGGUCUGAGAGGAUGACCAGUCACACUGGGACUGAGACACGGCCCAGACUCCUACGGGAGGCAGCAGUGGGGAAUUUUCCGCAAUGGGCGAAAGCCUGACGGAGCAAUACCGCGUGAGGGAGGAAGGCUCUUGGGUCGUAAACCUCUUUUAUUAGGGAAGAAGAUCUGACGGUACCUAAGAAUCCAGCAUA
RNAcentral lists this ribosomal RNA (441 nucleotides) under uncultured cyanobacterium. RNAcentral describes it as "bacterial SSU rRNA". It matches the Rfam family "Bacterial small subunit ribosomal RNA", at positions 8 to 494 of the family's 1533-position model. The record is from RNAcentral. Lineage: Bacteria; Bacillati; Cyanobacteriota.